AUUGAACGCUGGCGGCAUGCCUUACACAUGCAAGUCGAACGGCAGCACGGGGGCAACCCUGGUGGCGAGUGGCGAACGGGUGAGUAAUACAUCGGAACGUGUCCUGUAGUGGGGGAUAGCCCGGCGAAAACCGGAUUAAUACCGCAUACGCUCUACGGAGGAAAGGGGGGGAUCUUAGGACCUCCCGCUACAGGGGCGGCCGAUGGCAGAUUAGCUAGUUGGUGGGGUAAAGGCCUACCAAGGCGACGAUCUGUAGCUGGUCUGAGAGGACGACCAGCCACACUGGGACUGAGACACGGCCCAGACUCCUACGGGAGGCAGCAGUGGGGAAUUUUGGACAAUGGGGGCAACCCUGAUCCAGCAAUGCCGCGUGUGUGAAGAAGGCCUUCGGGUUGUAAAGCACUUUUGUCCGGAAAGAAAACGCCGUGGUUAAUACCCGUGGCGGAUGACGGUACCGGAAGAAUAAGCACCGGCUAACUACGUG
Molecule: ribosomal RNA, 484 nt
Filed under: uncultured bacterium
Lineage: Bacteria
Description: partial 16S ribosomal RNA
Rfam family: Bacterial small subunit ribosomal RNA
Source: RNAcentral